This 254-nucleotide ribosomal RNA is filed under the name uncultured bacterium. Its description in RNAcentral is "partial 16S ribosomal RNA". It matches the Rfam family "Bacterial small subunit ribosomal RNA", at positions 524 to 776 of the family's 1533-position model. The record is from RNAcentral.
UACAUGGGGUGCAAACGUUGCUCGGAAUUACUGGGCGUAAAGCGCACGUAGGCGGAUAUUUAAGUCAGGGGUGAAAUCCCAGAGCUCAACUCUGGAACUGCCUUUGAUACUGGGUAUCUUGAGUAUGGAAGAGGUAAGUGGAAUUGCGAGUGUAGAGGUGAAAUUCGUAGAUAUUCGCAGGAACACCAGUGGCGAAGGCGGCUUACUGGUCCAUAACUGACGCUGAGGUGGCGAAAGCGUGGGGAGCAAACAGG